Long non-coding RNA from Zingiber officinale, 428 nucleotides. RefSeq lists it as uncharacterized. The transcript has 3 exons. The record is from RefSeq and is a predicted model, not a curated record. NCBI's taxonomy places the organism in Eukaryota, Viridiplantae, Streptophyta, Magnoliopsida, Zingiberales, Zingiberaceae.
GUGCCCUAACUCUCCUCCUCCUCCUCCUCCUUCCUCUUUCGCGAAAGAUCCUCCCGUGCCCUAACUCUAGCUCCCGAGCUGCUUCUUCCUUCCCCUUCGAGAAGAGAGGAGCAAAGCCCGUCCCCUUCGUGCCCUAACUUCUUCAGCCGCAGCCUCACGUUCUCCUUUCUCUUCCUCCCAGUGAGGCCACCCACUUCUUCCCUCCCGUUCUCAAAGAGAGGAGCGAAGCCUGUCCAUCCAAAAAAAAAAUAGAGUCGAAGCCCUGACCUAGCUACGAGGUCAAGUUAUGGCACCAGUAGACAUGGAGCUUUGAAUUUGAGCACUCUUUGAGAUAAUCAACUUCUAUUCCUUUUCUUCUUCUUCUUCGACGCUUCCAUGGUUUGGUAGAUAAAGGAAAGGAAAAGCUAUAGAAAAGGAAGGCGACGAGG